This is a long non-coding RNA of Homo sapiens (human), 635 nucleotides long. RefSeq lists it as uncharacterized. The transcript is spliced from 3 exons. The record is from RefSeq and is a predicted model, not a curated record. NCBI's taxonomy places the organism in Eukaryota, Metazoa, Chordata, Mammalia, Primates, Hominidae.
CCCCCACUGUAGAUGCCGCCAGCACUCCGCCACAGCUGACACCUCGGGGGCUCUCUCCCAGAGUAGAAAUGACCCCUCACCUUCUCUGCUUUGGAAAGAAAAAGAGAAAAAAAAUAAACCUGCAUGCAUGCAGAUCACACACCUGGAUUCCAUUAUCUCUCUGACUUCCAGCCCAGGGAACCAAGGAAGCCCAGAAUCUUUGAGUCACAUCCUCUUCCUCUUCUCUGCGGAACCCAGUGGGGCUCUCUCACCAGGAGGAGGGGGUUGAGGUUUCAGAUUAAACGCCACCCACCACGUCUACCCUCUAAUGCCUUUCCUGGCUCCAUAAAGUAGGUCAGAUCACUUUGCUCUUUUUCCCCGUAACAUCUUGUGCCUUCACUGAUGUCAACUUUCAACACAAUCUAUCGUAAGCCCUUGUACCAUGUCUGCAAAUUUGGAAAGAUGAGGAUGGUGUCAACUCUUACACCUGGUGGCACAUAUUGCAGAGAACAGCAUGGGUGACACACUUCACUGGACAAAAAAUGGAAGGGCAUGACUGAACCUUUAUUGGAACAAAAUAUGGGCUCAGCCAGCUGCGGUGGCUCAUGCCUGUAAUCCCAACAGUUUGGGAGGCCCAGUCAGGUGGAUCACCUGAG